Molecule: ribosomal RNA, 255 nt
Filed under: uncultured bacterium
Lineage: Bacteria
Description: partial 16S ribosomal RNA
Rfam family: Bacterial small subunit ribosomal RNA
Source: RNAcentral
UACAGAGGCCCCAAGCAUUACCCGGAAUCACUGGGCGUAAAGGGUGUGUAGGCGGUCGUAUUAGUCUUUCGUAAAAGCACUCGGGCUUAACCCGGGUAAUGCGGGAGAAACGGUACGGCUACGAGGAUGCGAGAGGUAUAGGGAACUCAUGGUGUAGGGGUGAAAUCCGUUGAUAUCAUGGGGAACACCAAAAGCGAAGGCACUAUACUGGCGCACUCCUGACGCCGAAACACGAAAGCGUGGGAAUCGAACGGG